Long non-coding RNA from Prosopis cineraria, 1309 nucleotides. RefSeq lists it as uncharacterized. The transcript has 3 exons. NCBI's taxonomy places the organism in Eukaryota, Viridiplantae, Streptophyta, Magnoliopsida, Fabales, Fabaceae. The record is from RefSeq and is a predicted model, not a curated record.
AAGCAUCAACUGCCUGCAACUCUUCUGCAUCAAGGUCAUCCUCAAUUGACAGAGACAUAACCCUGCUGUGCCUGCGACCCCUCUUUGUGAAGGAACUCUUGAACUUGUUUGAAGCACUGAUUGCCACCUUCUUUAUAGCUCCAACCCUUUUCUUCCUUUCUUCCUCCGAAUAUUCAUUUUCAACACCUAUAUUAGGAUUAGGAUGAAGAAAAAGGCUUAGUUGAAAACGUUUAACUAUAACAUGAUAUAAAGACUGAUACUGCUUAUAUGUGACCAUGAUCUUCUUCCUUGCACUGCUGUUGUGGCUACUAACACCACAAAUCCUAGUUACCAUAUUCUUAUUUCAGUUUUAGGGAUCUUUCUGAUUUGUCAUCAACCAAAUAAUUGUCUUGAGAAAUGUCAUUGAUUGCUCAGAGACCAGCAUAACUCCAAAUCCCAUGGCUGUAAAUACUCUUAUGAAAAAAUUCUACUGCAGUUUAUAGUGUUUAUUCUCAGGUUCUUCGAUCAAAUUAUGAUUCGUAAAACCCUUUUUCAGGACUCUAUAACUUAUAUAUUAUUAAUAAACCUGUCAACAAAUUAUCUAGGGGUAUGGUAUCUUCAUUUGGAAGAGUGAUGCAUCUCAAUAUAUAUAUAUAUAUAUAUAUAUUUUAUCUACGUGUGACCUUUGACGUGCAGGUAGAUUCUUAUGCUUUCAUUUUUCUCUGUCUCACACCUUCAUGGUUAUGGAGCAUGCAAAAUAUUGAGUAUUUCAUAUUACAUUGCAGCCUAUGAACAUAAAGAUUCCAGACAAAAGAUGAUGCAGACGAAAAACAGCAAUGCAUAAAGGGAAAUAUAAAAUUUCUGCAACAACAUAGUCUUACCCAAUUUAAGAGGUUCAGGCAUCAAAGUAGUCUCACACAUGAUUAGAAUCUUGGAAGCUUAAUGACUCAGUUUUUCAGCUUCUGUUUGCUACAACGGGAAACACACACAUACACAUUGUGAUGGCGAAAUGCGAGCCACUCCGUCCAUUUUGUUCUGCUUGGGGGCAAAAUAAGAACAAGUUGCAGAAAUCCAAGAUUGCCUCUAAGAUUCUUUUAUUCGAAAUAUACAAAAAGGACUGAGCUGGAAGAAGUAGAAGUCAACACUAGCAACGCCGUGUUAUGGAGCUCCACUAAGUUUACGUUCAUGGCAGCCUGCUCUUGGACUCAUGAAACAUGAAGUGUUGUCCCAACUUUUCCUGAAAUACGAAGGAGACAAGCGAAUAAAUAUCAUCUCUGUUGAGCCAUUUUAAUUUUAGGCUCACCACCCUUGAGUGGAAUGAGUUUCAAAU